Molecule: transfer RNA, 78 nt
Filed under: Candidatus Wukongarchaeum yapensis
Lineage: Archaea; Promethearchaeati; Candidatus Wukongarchaeota; Candidatus Wukongarchaeia; Candidatus Wukongarchaeales; Candidatus Wukongarchaeaceae
Also listed under: 3 other names
Description: tRNA-Glu
Rfam family: tRNA
About the family: Transfer RNA (tRNA) molecules are approximately 80 nucleotides in length. Their secondary structure includes four short double-helical elements and three loops (D, anti-codon, and T loops).
Source: RNAcentral
GCCGCGGUAGUGUAGCCAGGCCAAGCAUUCGAGGCUUUCGCCCUCGCGACAGGGGUUCGAAUCCCCUCCGCGGCACCA